UAGAUUUUCUCGUUUAUUCUAAAGUUUGCAAUACCUAGAAAAUUCUGUAAGGAGUUUAGUAUUAGUUGAAACUUCUCUUUAAUAAAAUCACUUUCAAGUGCAAGAAAUUUUUUCAGUGGCAUUUUCUUUUGAAUGGAAAGAAAGAGAUUUAAACUUGAAAAAAUACAACAUGCUUAUUCUGCAAUAUACGUCUUUUGAAAACUAAACUUUGCUUAUAUUUGCCAGGAAUCCUUAUUUAAUUGCAAUGCAUGAGUCAAAAUAUAAAAAAAUCAUUUGAUUACGCUUCUGAUACAUAUGACGCAUGUUAUUUAGAUUUUUGUAAAAGAUCUAUCGUAGCUACGCAACAAAACUAACAUGAAUGUUAAUCAACGUCUCAUUAUGUUUAGAAGAAGAUUAUUCGGAUUUGAAAGGAUUGCUAAUGUAGCCAAUUUUAGACUGCGUGUUUUUACAAAACUCUGAUCACAAUUGUAACCGCAUAUACCUGUGCUUGUUGCAGCUAUUUAGUAUUUAAUUCGUUUUUCAGAUUCGUUUUCUAUCAACGGAUCCUUUAAAAUUAAUGAAAUCCUAUCCACCUGUUUCUAUUCUUGAUGCUACACGAUGCUAUAUUUUCAGUUUUAAUAUUUAGAUCUUUGAAUAAGGUUUACUAAUUGCUAGACUUUCCAAUGUUUUCUUCAUAGUGUUUGAAUUGUCAAGUAGCAGGGCAGAAUUUUUGAAAUUCGAAAAAUAGUGCAAAUGUUUUGUAAAAAGUACGGAAUACACUGCAAAUGUUGAUUUAUAUCCAUUUUGAAGUUUUCCGCUAAUGCAAAUUUUGAAAUUAUCAAUUUCCGUUUCUAAAAUGCAUAUCAAGCUGGUAGGCUUCUUCGAUUCAGAAACCGUGACAUCUGCUGAUCGAAUCAAAUAUUUGCCCUUUGAGAGUGACGUUGCCAGGCUUUAUAAGUGGCUGUGCAUCCUGCGUUUUAAAGUCUGAUGUUUUACAGUUAGAUGAUCUUCAAAGCUAGUAACAAGCACGUAGCCAUGUUUGUGUCAUCAGCAAUCUUCAUUCUGACAGCAAGCUGUUUUGCGUUACAUGAAGCAAGGUUAUGCCACUUUGAAUCUGCAAGAAAGGCACUGGUUGAAGCCUCCCCUGUAAGGUAUGGAUCAGCAAACAGCUGCAGUGAAAGCAUAAUUAUGGAUCAAUUUUCUAAAGUUGAGUAUCAGUGCAUAGAAGCAUGCUACAAACACCCUGGGUGCCACUCAAUUUACUUCGACACUAAAAGCAAGUACUGCAUUCUUUGGCGUUUUCUAGAAGAGCCUUCGAUGUGUUUUGAACGUGUCACGACUUCAGAUGCCUAUCACGCACUCCUUGAUAGGGGGCAGUUUAGAGAUAUGUUUGGAAGUGGGUGCAUGAAGAAGCAUUGAAGAUUCGAUGUUUCAAGACUUGAGGCCAAACUACUUGCUGUCAAGGGGAAUGCACUUAAACACUAUUCAUUUAAUCUGCAUAUAUGCCUUAUAAUAUGCUUAAGUCUACAUAAAUUCUUGUGUAUUAUACUUACGGUCAAGAUUGUUUUCUUAUGAAGAAAGACCUCUGAAUUA
Molecule: long non-coding RNA, 1572 nt
Organism: Rhopilema esculentum
Lineage: Eukaryota; Metazoa; Cnidaria; Scyphozoa; Rhizostomeae; Rhizostomatidae
Source: RefSeq, a predicted model, not a curated record